AGUCGCCGAGCUUUUUGGAUACAACAAUGGCGAUGAGUGGAUGGUUGCGCAUUUCUUGUUCCGGAAGAAGUAGAAGUCACCCCUGGAGCCAAGUACUCCCUCCAUCCCAUAAAAAACCAACCUGGUAUUGGAGGUGAUAUUCCCUAGUAUAACGAAUCUAGGCAACCUUCUGUUCAGAUUCGUUGUAUUAGGAAAUAUCACCUCCAAUAGUAGGUUGAUUUUUUGUGGGACGAAGGGAGUAAUUCAGAAGCAUUCAAUCCCUUUUCAGACCUCACUUGAUGAUUCAGGAAUCGUGCUUUGC
RNAcentral lists this long non-coding RNA (301 nucleotides) under Oryza sativa (Asian cultivated rice). RNAcentral's name for it is "long non-coding RNA (OSAT_LNC001183)". Lineage: Eukaryota; Viridiplantae; Streptophyta; Magnoliopsida; Poales; Poaceae. The record is from RNAcentral.